This 231-nucleotide ribosomal RNA is filed under the name uncultured bacterium. Its description in RNAcentral is "partial 16S ribosomal RNA". It matches the Rfam family "Bacterial small subunit ribosomal RNA", at positions 15 to 240 of the family's 1533-position model. The record is from RNAcentral.
GAUCAUGGCUCAGGAUGAACGCUAGCGACAGGCUUAACACAUGCAAGUCGAGGGGCAGCAUGAGGUAGCAAUACCUUGAUGGCGACCGGCGCACGGGUGAGUAACGCGUAUGCAACCUGCCCGAUACCGGGGGUAUAGCCCAUGGAAACGUGGAUUAACACCCCCAUAGUACUUUUAUCCUGCAUGGGAUGUGAGUUAAAUGUUCAAGGUAUCGGAUGGGCAUGCGUCCUA